UGAACAAAAAGAAAGAAAGAAAAGGUUUCCUUCUGAGAGUACUUUUCUGUCAUUUAAUCCGUUUACAUGUUUCUUUACUCUUACCUUUCUUGCUUGCUUUCUGACCACCAGGGAUACAAUGUUAGCACAGGGUCACUGGGGCUCUGUCCAGCUCUAGACAGAUGUUGCUAUAGUCAGAGUUUUAUGAUGACAGAAUGAGAUUUCCAGAAUGCACUGGUGAGUUCCAUGGCAAUUGUUAAGCUUGUCAUUUAGAGGAAAUGAAAGGAAGUCAUUGAUUACUUUCAACACUCACUAUCUUUGCUUUGAGUGUGUAAAAUGCUUUUGUAUUUCCCAUCCAAAACUAACAGACAGUAGCCCCCCAAAAUAGGCCACAUUAUUCAUAGUCCAAGAUUCUCAGGCAUCAUAAUUUACGCUGAGCUGAAAGAAAUUAUGACUUUUAAAAGGAGUUCAGUCUUGCUAGACAAUAUAUUCCUCUGACCGUUCUCCAGGAACAUUGCUUAAAAUAACAGCUGUGAAUUAUAGGUCUCCAAUGUGAAAUUAGUGGGACAAUUGAAAUGGGAGGAACAAGAUUCUCAUUCUUCAGUAUAACAAGUAUUUUUAGGGAUCAGGAUGAACACACAGAUCUCCAGCAAGAAAUGGAAACUGAAAUUUUGAGACUUCAGAUCAAAACUUUGAAAAUGGUAUCAGUUAUGGAGAGAAUACUGCAUUCUAUGUCCUCUUUUGCUAGAUCAUAUUUCAAAAGCCACAACAUUUCCAUGAAUCUGUCUCAUUAACUGGAUUUUAGGGAAUCACCCCGGCAAGAAUGUUCUUUCUUAGUUCUUCCACAAUAAACACCAAUUACUUAGGUAUUUCCUAAAUUUU
RNAcentral lists this long non-coding RNA (861 nucleotides) under Vulpes vulpes (red fox). RNAcentral's name for it is "lncRNA (ENSVVUG00000010923.1)". The record is from RNAcentral. Lineage: Eukaryota; Metazoa; Chordata; Mammalia; Carnivora; Canidae.